GGGAAAAGCUCAAAUUUUGAAUCUGGCGGUCGUCAUGGCUGUCCGAGUUGUAAUCUAGAGAAGCGUCUUCUAGCGCUGGCCCGUGUACAAGUCUCCUGGAAGGGAGCGUCAUAGAGGGUGAGAAUCCCGUCUUUGACACGGAGAAUCAGUGCGAUGUGAUGCGCUCUCGACGAGUCGAGUUGUUUGGGAAUGCAGCUCAAAUAGGGUGGUAAAUUCCAUCUAAAGCUAAAUACAGGCGAGAGACCGAUAGCGAACAAGUACCGUGAGGGAAAGAUGAAAAGAACUUUGGAAAGAGAGUUAAACAGUACGUGAAAUUGCUGAAAGGGAAACGCUCGAUGUCAGUCGCGUCCGCCAGGGAUCAACCUUGCUUCAUCGCUCGGUGCAUUUCUUGGUCGGACGGGUCAGCAUCAGUUUCGAUCGUCGUAGAACGGUGGAGGGAACGUGGCACCUCUCGAGGUGUGUUAUAGCCCUCUAUCUUAUGCGUCGGAAGGGACUGAGGAACUCGACACUUCUGGUGUCUAGGAUGCUGGCAUAAUGGCCUUGAGCGACCCGUCUUGAAACACGGACCAAGGAGUCUAACAUGCCUGCGAGUGUUUGGGUGUCAAACUCAAGCGCGCAACGAAAGUGAAAGUCGAGAUCUUUGUCAUGGAGAGCAUCGACGCCCGGACCAGAGUCUUUGACRAAGGAUCUGCGGUAGAGCAUGUAUGUUGGGACCCGAAAGAUGGUGAACUAUGCCUGAAUAGGGUGAAGCCAGAGGAAACUCUGGUGGAGGCUCGUAGCGAUUCUGACGUGCAAAUCGAUCGUCGAAUUUGGGUAUAGGGCGCGAAAGACUA
This 833-nucleotide ribosomal RNA is filed under the name Xerocomus punctilifer. RNAcentral's name for it is "eukaryotic LSU rRNA". It matches the Rfam family "Eukaryotic large subunit ribosomal RNA", at positions 100 to 933 of the family's 3401-position model. The record is from RNAcentral. Lineage: Eukaryota; Fungi; Basidiomycota; Agaricomycetes; Boletales; Boletaceae.